GCCUCGUUAGCGCAGUAGCCAGCGCGUCAGUGUCGUAAUCUGAAGGUCGUGAGUUCGAUCCUCACACGGGGCA
Molecule: transfer RNA, 73 nt
Filed under: Orbicella faveolata
Lineage: Eukaryota; Metazoa; Cnidaria; Anthozoa; Scleractinia; Merulinidae
Description: tRNA-Thr
Rfam family: tRNA
About the family: Transfer RNA (tRNA) molecules are approximately 80 nucleotides in length.
Source: RNAcentral